Molecule: ribosomal RNA, 775 nt
Filed under: uncultured Neocallimastigales
Lineage: Eukaryota; Fungi; Neocallimastigomycota; Neocallimastigomycetes; Neocallimastigales
Description: partial large subunit ribosomal RNA
Rfam family: Eukaryotic large subunit ribosomal RNA
Source: RNAcentral
AUAUCAGUCAUGCAUAGCAUAUCAAUAAGCGGAGGAAAAGAAACUAACAAGGAUUCCCUUAGUAACGGCGAGUGAAGCGGGAGGAGCUCAAAUUUGAAAUCUUCAAGGUUCUACCUUGACGAAUUGUAGUUUAUAGAAGUGUUUUCUGUUAGUAGAGUGGCAAAAGUUCUUUGGAAUAGGACAUCAUAGAGGGUGAGAAUCCCGUAUUUGGUCAUUCUUUCUAGCUUUGUGAUACACUUUCAACGAGUCGGAUUGUUUGGGAAUGCAGUCCAAAAUGGGUGGUAAAUUUCAUCUAAAGCUAAAUAUUGGCGAGAGACCGAUAGCGAACAAGUACCGUGAGGGAAAGAUGAAAAGAACUUUGAAAAGAGAGUUAAACAGUACGUGAAAUUGUCAAAAGGGAAGCGUUUGACACCAGUGUUGUUUUUCUCGAAAAUCAAUUACGAAUGUUUUGUUUUUGAGGAGUUAUGACUUCAUCGGCUUGCUCCUUUCUUUACGAAACUUUCUUAAUGCACUUUUCGGUUAACAAGUCAACAUCAAUUUCUUUUGUUGUAAAAGGGUAUGAGGAAGGUGGCUUUCUUUUCGGAGAAAGUGUUUAUAGCCUUGUGCCUCUGCAAUCGGAGAGAUUGAGGUCUGCAGCGUAGAUCCUUCGGGGUUAGAUACGUUUGUGCUAAGUUAUAGCUUUUCAUAGACAACUUGUUGACUAUGUUUAGUCUUGUAGCUUACUCGCUGAUGCUAUUUUACCUACGCUUAGGAUGUUGAUGUGAUACUGCGAGCA